CAUAUCAUGUUAAAACACCGGUUCCUGUACGAUCACCGAAGUUAAGCAACGUCAAGCCUGGUCACUAACUAGAUAGUUAACCGUUUCGGAAUACCAGGUGCUGUAAG
Non-coding RNA from Acanthosepion pharaonis, 107 nucleotides. The record is from the annotation of a GenBank genome assembly. NCBI's taxonomy places the organism in Eukaryota, Metazoa, Mollusca, Cephalopoda, Sepiida, Sepiidae.